AUAUUAUAGACGAUCGCCCCCACUCUCGGGAGGCGGUACUUCGAUCGACAGAAAACGGAGCAAAUUCUUAGAUCAAUCGAUUUAUCCAACUGAGAAGUACACACACACUAUAAUUGGAAUACAUGUAUACAGUAAACUUUGUAAAGCGAUCCACUCGCCGCCAUAAUCGUUGACAUUCUGUUUAGAACAUCUAAACAGAAAAUAAAAACUGGAGAACACGGCCAUUUCACAUUCGAUAUGACCAGCAUAUACGCACAGGUUGUGUUGAGAUUAAUCAAAAUGGAAUUAUGUAGUGGGUUAAAAUUAAUGUGGAUCAUAAAUGUACAAGUGUAGAUAAUAUAAUUGUGGCCUACUAAUUCAGUGUAUAGAUGAUUGCAACUCCCCAAUGGAUUACCAAUAUAUGUUGAUCAAAACUGAACAAAUACAGCAUAUUAGUUUAAAGUAAUUCCACCCUCCUGUGAUGUCAUCAGAGUUUGCAAAAUUAAUGAUUUAUUUAGAUUUAUGCAUGAUAGGAACAUGAAUUUUGUUAGAGUCUUUUCCAAUAGGUAUUGUAAAAAAUCUUGUUAAUAAUAAACUAUUUCAAAAGUC
Ostrea edulis (European flat oyster) is the source of this 588-nucleotide long non-coding RNA. RefSeq lists it as uncharacterized. Lineage: Eukaryota; Metazoa; Mollusca; Bivalvia; Ostreida; Ostreidae. The transcript has 2 exons. The record is from RefSeq and is a predicted model, not a curated record.